Dromaius novaehollandiae (emu) is the source of this 1898-nucleotide long non-coding RNA. RefSeq lists it as uncharacterized. Lineage: Eukaryota; Metazoa; Chordata; Aves; Casuariiformes; Dromaiidae. The transcript is spliced from 2 exons. The record is from RefSeq and is a predicted model, not a curated record.
AAAGAAGAAGGGGAGAGCGCAACUUGCACAGUCCGCGGACGCGACGGCCCCUCCUCUCCUCCUCCUCAGACCAGGAAACUCAGUGACAGAGAAGUGAUUUGCCAGUCUUCAGCAAAGAAUUAUGGAACUUAAGUUUGAGAUGUUCACACCCGUUAAACCACUGUGCUACCUAAACUAUCCUGGAUCUGCAUGUUUCCAUGGAAGUAUUUAUUAUGCACCACCACAAGAUCACACUGUUAGUUCCGAAUGUAUCCUGUUGCCAGCAUUUCAUCAUCUGUCCACAUUAAUACUUCAUCAGACAACCUUUAAAAAGACUUUACAAAAAGAAAUAUGAAAGACAAAAGAGAAAUUUCAAACUGAGAGCAUCAUUUGUCAGGUGGUAUCCUUUGGAAUUUAGAUGUUUACUGAACAUGGAUACAUUCAUAUUAUUAGUUGUCUAGGAAACAAUAGGUUUUUUUAAGACUGGCACCUAAAUACUUUCUCUAAGACAGACAAGGAUGCUAAGACUUUUUUGAGCGUAUCAUAGCUUAUUUCUGUUCCUCAGUAGGUAAAAUAUUUCAAACAUUUCAUAAAUUCCAUUCAAGUCACAUGGAAAGACAUAUAUUUUUCCCUUGAAAAAUGUUUGCAAAAUAUCCUUAUACCCUGAAAAAAAGAGAAUACUUUUAUAAUGAUCUAAAUUUCAGUGAUAAUUAAUAAUAUAAAAAGGAAAUGUGCAAUAAAAUCAAAAGGUGACAUUCACACCCAAAUAAAAAGCUACCACAAGAAUUGCACAGUUCCUGUCUCCCACCCAGUAUCUCCUAAAAUGUCCUUUAGUGGUUCGUGGACUUGCUGGGAUCUGCACAAGUGUGGAUUUCAUCUGAUUUCAUCUGAAGUAUAUUAUUGUAGCAACUUGCUUAUGGCCAAAAGUGUCACAGCUUUCUGCAGAAAUAAAAUAGAUAUUUGGUUCAAAUAUAAAUUCAGUCUCUAUUUUUGCAGUAAUUUUAUGUUCUAAUUAUAACAGUCUAAUCUGUAAACAACACAUGCUGAGGUUUUGACAGUGAAGUUCUGAUGAAACACAGAAUAGAAAUUUUAAUUACAUACAGUUCUAAUACAGUGAACACUGCAGCAUUUCUGUCAUCUUUGAAAUGGUAACAAAAUGAAAAAAAAGUUUUUGAAAUAUGAGCAUGAAGGUAAUGAGAUCAAUAAAUGUCAGCUAGAAAAAGUAAUCACAACUCUAGAGACUCACUAACCUUUCUACAAAUUCCAGAAAUAAUAGACUAGCUUGGGAUGAGGAAUUCUUUAACAAUGAAAAACAGAUACAAUUAUAAGGGGAAAGCAAACCAAAGACUGCCUAAUAAUAUCAGAGGUGUUGCCUUUUUAGGUAAACAAGAGAAAAUGAUAAAGAUUUUUCCUUUUCCUCCUGAGAUCCUAAUCAUUGCACCUCCAUCUACACCUUCUGAUUUCAAGAGGGAACUUAAAUAUAAGCACAUAUGUAUAUCUAGAAACAAAAUAUGAAAUGUGGCAUGAAGUGUAGUAAGAGAUAACAGUUUUGCAGACUGACAGCCUGAUCCUUCUCUGAGGGAAAUGGAAAAGUUAGAAUGCUAAUUGACCUCCAUAUAAAUUCCAGAUACUUAACGUUCUUAACGUACUUAACGUUUGGUGGUGUAUGGAUCCUAUAUAUAAUUUAUGCAAACACAGAGCUUAAGAAAGAAUUAAUUCAAGACAAGAAACUGUGUGCUACGUUUUAAUGCCCCAUGGUAGAAUCUAACUUCUGUAAGAGAAAACAUAUUUUACAUGCAGUGUUGGAUUAAGUAAUAUUUGAAAUGGUAAUAUUAGUUUUUUUAAAAAAAAAUUAAAUGUGCAAGACUCAUUGAAUCUGAGGUGAAAAACAAAGGAAAUAAAAUAUUUUGUCAAACCUA